AGGACGAACGCUGGCGGCGUGCUUAACACAUGCAAGUCGAGCGGAAAGGCCCUUCGGGGUACUCGAGCGGCGAACGGGUGAGUAACACGUGAGCAACCUGCCCCUGGCUCUGGGAUAGCCUCCGGAAACGGGGAUUAAUACCGGACAUUCUCCUUCUUCCGCAUGGUUGAGGGUGGUAAAGUUUUUCGGCCGGGGAGGGCUCGCGGCCUAUCAGCUUGUUGGCGGGGUAACGGCCCACCAAGGCGACGACGGGUAG
RNAcentral lists this ribosomal RNA (256 nucleotides) under uncultured bacterium. Its description in RNAcentral is "partial small subunit ribosomal RNA". It matches the Rfam family "Bacterial small subunit ribosomal RNA", at positions 26 to 286 of the family's 1533-position model. The record is from RNAcentral.